GAAGCUGACCAGACAGUCGCCGCUUCGUCGUCGUCCUUUCGGGGAGACGGGCGGAGGGGAGGAAAGUCCGGGCUCCAUAGGGCAGGGUGCCAGGUAACGCCUGGGGGGGGAAACCCACGACCAGUGCAACAGAGAGCAAACCGCCGAUGGCCCACGCAAGUGGGAUCAGGUAAGGGUGAAAGGGUGCGGUAAGAGCGCACCGCGCGGCUGGUAACAGUCCGUGGCACGGUAAACUCCACCCGGAGCAAGGCCAAAUAGGGGUUCAUAAGGUACGGCCCGUACUGAACCCGGGUAGGCUGCUUGAGCCAGUGAGCGAUUGCUGGCCUAGAUGAAUGACUGUCCACGACAGAACCCGGCUUAUCGGUCAGUUUC
This 372-nucleotide RNase P RNA is filed under the name Salmonella enterica subsp. enterica serovar Typhi. RNAcentral describes it as "partial RNase P RNA component class A". It matches the Rfam family "Bacterial RNase P class A". Rfam says of the family: Ribonuclease P (RNase P) is a ubiquitous endoribonuclease, found in archaea, bacteria and eukarya as well as chloroplasts and mitochondria. Its best characterised activity is the generation of mature 5'-ends of tRNAs by cleaving the 5'-leader elements of precursor-tRNAs. Lineage: Bacteria; Pseudomonadati; Pseudomonadota; Gammaproteobacteria; Enterobacterales; Enterobacteriaceae. The record is from RNAcentral.